GAUGAACGCUGGCGGCGUGCCUAAUACAUGCAAGUCGAGCGAACGGACGAGAAGCUUGCUUUUCUGAUGUUAGCGGCGGACGGGUGAGUAACACGUGGAUAACCUACCUAUAAGACUGGGAUAACUUCGGGAAACCGGAGCUAAUACCGGAUAAUAUUUUGAACCGCAUGGUUCAAAAGUGAAAGACGGUCUUGCUGUCACUUAUAGAUGUAUCCGCGCUGCAUUAGCUAGUUGGUAAGGUAACGGCUUACCAAGGCAACGAUGCAUAGCCGACCUGAGAGGGUGAUGCGGCACACUGGAACUGAGCCGCGGUACAGAGUCCUACGGGAGGCAGCAGCAGGGAAUCGUCGGAGAUGGGCGGAAGCCUGACGGAGCAGCGCCGCGUGAGUGAUGAAGGUCUUCGGAUCGGAAAACUCUGUUAUUAGGGAAGAACAUAUGUGUAAGUAACUGUGCACAUCGUGACGGUACCUAAUCAGAAAGCCACGGCUAACUACGUG
This 497-nucleotide ribosomal RNA is filed under the name uncultured bacterium. RNAcentral's name for it is "partial 16S ribosomal RNA". It matches the Rfam family "Bacterial small subunit ribosomal RNA", at positions 28 to 507 of the family's 1533-position model. The record is from RNAcentral.